GGUGGCUCAGUGGUAGAGCACUUGCCUUGCAUGCAUGAGGCCCUGGGUUCAAUUCCCUAGCACCA
This 65-nucleotide transfer RNA is filed under the name Dipodomys ordii (Ord's kangaroo rat). It matches the Rfam family "tRNA". Rfam says of the family: Transfer RNA (tRNA) molecules are approximately 80 nucleotides in length. Their secondary structure includes four short double-helical elements and three loops (D, anti-codon, and T loops). Lineage: Eukaryota; Metazoa; Chordata; Mammalia; Rodentia; Heteromyidae. The record is from Rfam by way of RNAcentral.